Molecule: long non-coding RNA, 1446 nt
Filed under: Numida meleagris (helmeted guineafowl)
Lineage: Eukaryota; Metazoa; Chordata; Aves; Galliformes; Numididae
Description: lncRNA (ENSNMEG00000009487.1)
Source: RNAcentral
CCCAUUUGCAGUUCUUCUAGCAUCAAGACCAAUUUAAGAAGCAGGUUAUAUCCCAAAAUACAUAGUUCAACGGUAUUGUACUUACAUGCCUUUUAGGGUCUGGGUAAAGGCUGGUUGUGGUAAUUUGCUACUGUUCUUUUCAUUUGUUUGUUCUAAAGGUUCCCCUGCAUCUGAAUCUGAGCAGGUUCUGUUCAGCCCCUGUAUAAAAUAACUGCUGUAGAAGCCUCCCUAAGCUCCUUUACCUUAAACACUAAUGCAAAUCAUUUAUUUGGUUUUCUUCAAUUGUUUCUCCCCUUAAGUACCCCUUUGGCACCUCAGUCAUCUGCAGGAGCUGGCAGCUCUCCAGCAGGCUAGCAAGCUCUGGCAGAUCAGGGCCAGGAGCACUUUAGAGACAAAACUUCUUUUCACCGUGCAUCUGAUUAGUUCCUAGCACGAGAGAUCUCACCCUGGGCUGAGGCUCCUGAUGAUACUGUUACAGCCAAUUGCUGUUAUCUCCCUGUACAGGAACUGCUGAGUCACGGCCUGAACCACUGAUUGAGCACCCGGAGGAAAGACCCAGUCAGCCCUGGGAGCACAGGUGAAGGCAAUUCACUGUGUGACCAGAAGGGGUGGAGCCAGGCUCCACCCUCUCAGACCUCACUGAAGGGCUGACUGCCACUGAGGAAGGAUCUCUUUCUGGAGAUUCCUCCUUGGGGGAAUCUUUUGCCUGUGAACCCAGAAUCUUCUGAUAUGGGUGAGUGAUCUACUUUUCUUCCUUUGUAGCACUUUGCUAUUGUGCUGCUCCUUCCACCUCUUUUGUAAAGCCUUUUCCAUUGUGUUGAUCUUUCCAAUUGCUACGCUUUCCAUUUAGAUUUUGGAGCUGUUUCUUAACAAUCAGACAAAAUCAACAGUAAAACUCUUCAGGUCUGAUGCUUUGCAGGUGCUGGAUUCAUGUGCAGCUGCUUUUGGGGGCUGUGUCCAUCUGAAAGUAUUUCUCAGCAGUGACUGCAGUGGGGAAAUGGCUGUGGGCUGCCUCAUGCAGUCCCAGCCCUGCCCUGCACGCCCUGGAGCUCUCAGCCAAGCCCCUUUGGCAGCAGUGACACCGAGCUGCAGACGUGAUGCCAGAUGCCACAAUGGGACUGCAUGGGAUGCGGGACACUUAGUGCCAGCUGAGUUGGGAAGAGCUGCUCUUGCCACAAAUACUGCAGAAAGGUUUUGGGGUCUCUGGGUCAGCUGUACCUGUCAACACACCUCUGUGAAAGUGACACCAUCACAUUCACAGCUUCAGCGGCAACCUCAUAAAUCAUUGCGCUCAGCUUAGCAAGUUGUGGGUGUUACUGCAUGGACUUCCAAUGAGGGAUCUACUGGAAAUGCAUCAGAGACUGAGUUGGACACACUAUCAGAGCAGGCUAUCGAGGACAGAAAGUGCUGCCCUCCCAUGUCAAAUAAACAGCAUGUGCACAACCA